UGAGGCAUGGUGUAGGGUACACAGCCUCCUAAAUAUGAAAAGUCGAUGAGGCAGUCCGGGGUUCGACUCCCCGUGUCUGAA
Non-coding RNA from Mycena latifolia, 81 nucleotides. The record is from the annotation of a GenBank genome assembly. Lineage: Eukaryota; Fungi; Basidiomycota; Agaricomycetes; Agaricales; Mycenaceae.